GACGAACGCUGGCGGCGUGCUUAACACAUGCAAGUCGAACGGAAAGGCCUUUUCGGAGGUACUCGAGUGGCGAACGGGUGAGUAACACGUGGGUGAUCUGCCCUGCACUCUGGGAUAAGCCUGGGAAACUGGGUCUAAUACCGGAUAGGACCGCACUUUAGUGUGUGUGGUGGAAAGUUUUUUCGGUGUAGGAUGAGCCCGCGGCCUAUCAGCUUGUUGGUGGGGUAAUGGCCUACCAAGGCGGCGGCGGGUAGCCGGACUGAGAGGUUGGUCGGCCACAUUGGGACUGGGAUACGGCCCAGACGCCUACGGGAGGCAGCAGUGGGGAAUAUUGCAAAAUGGGCGCAAGCCUGAUGCAGCGACGCCGCGGGGGGGAUGACGGCCUUCGGGUUGGAAACUCCUUUCGCCAGGGACGAAGCGUUUUGUGACGGUACCUGGAGAAGAAGCACCGGCUAACUACGUG
RNAcentral lists this ribosomal RNA (463 nucleotides) under uncultured bacterium. RNAcentral describes it as "partial 16S ribosomal RNA". It matches the Rfam family "Bacterial small subunit ribosomal RNA", at positions 28 to 507 of the family's 1533-position model. The record is from RNAcentral.